UGGGGAAUAUUGGACAAUGGGCGAAAGCCUGAUCCAGCCAUGCCGCGUGUGUGAAGAAGGUCUUCGGAUUGUAAAGCACUUUAAGUUGGGAGGCAGGGCAUUAACCUAAUACGUUAGUGUUUUGACGUUACCGACAGAAUAAGCACCGGCUAACUCGGUGCCAGCAGCCGCGGUAAUACAGAGGGUGCAAGCGUUAAUCGGAAUUACUGGGCGUAAAGCGCGCGUAGGUGGUUUGUUAAGUUGGAUGUGAAAUCCCCGGGCUCAACCUGGGAACUGCAUUCAAAACUGACUGACUAGAGUAUGGUAGAGGGUGGUGGAAUUUCCUGUGUAGCGGUGAAAUGCGUAGAUAUAGGAAGGAACACCAGUGGCGAAGGCGACCACCUGGACUAAUACUGACACUGAGGUGCGAAAGCGUGGGGAGCAAACA
RNAcentral lists this ribosomal RNA (427 nucleotides) under uncultured bacterium. Its description in RNAcentral is "partial 16S ribosomal RNA". It matches the Rfam family "Bacterial small subunit ribosomal RNA", at positions 355 to 774 of the family's 1533-position model. The record is from RNAcentral.